This is a long non-coding RNA of Balaenoptera ricei (Rice's whale), 637 nucleotides long. RefSeq lists it as uncharacterized. The record is from RefSeq and is a predicted model, not a curated record. NCBI's taxonomy places the organism in Eukaryota, Metazoa, Chordata, Mammalia, Artiodactyla, Balaenopteridae. The transcript has 2 exons.
GCCCUGCCAGCUGUGAGGCCCUGGGGCGUGGAGUCCGCCUGCCCGGGGCACGCAUCGGGCUGCUGGCUCGUUCCCUCCGUAGGACGUAGCAGCAUCUGAGUCUUUCGUCUGUUCGUCUGGUUCGGGUCAGCCGCGCCUACCAGAACCCAGGCUGAGGGCAGGGACUCCACAGCCGGCUGCUGCUGUCCCCAGUGCUCGGGAAAACAGAGCGAGACAGACACACGGAGGAGGAUGUCAUAUGAAGACACAGAGAGACCGGAGUGACGGGUCUACGUGGCCAGCUGAGCCCCUGGAGGGCGCUGGCCCUGGAGCUCAGCCUUCCGGCCUCUGGCACUGGGAGAGGAUACCUUUCUGUUGCCUUAAGCUUCCCUGCGUGUGGCGCUUUGUUACGGGGGUCCCAGGAAACACAGGCAAGGGAGGCUGGUGAGAAGGCCAGCUGUGCACCUCUCCGCGGUGCCCAGGGUGCGCCCUGGACUUGCCUCUCCCCCUUGGCAUCUGUUCCCAAGUCCCUUAGCCACUCCUUCCUAAAUACUUGUCGCCUCAGUGGGCCGGCAGUGCCCCCUGAGUGCCCUGGCUGGGGCAGGGGCACUGCCUGGGGAGGGAAGGGGAAAUGAACGUGACCUGUUCUUGUGCCCAA